UACGUAGGGUGCGAGCGUUACUCGGAAUUACUGGGCGUAAAGCGUGCGUAGGCGGUGAGUUAAGUCUGUCGUGAAAGCCCCGGGCUCAACCUGGGAAUGGCGAUGGAUACUGGCUCGCUAGAGGAUCGGAGAGGCAAGGGGAAUUCCACGUGUAGCGGUGAAAUGCGUAGAGAUGUGGAGGAACACCUGUGGCGAAGGCGCCUUGCUGGCCGAUUUCUGACGCUGAGGCGCGAAAGCGUGGGGAGCAAACAGG
RNAcentral lists this ribosomal RNA (253 nucleotides) under uncultured bacterium. RNAcentral describes it as "partial 16S ribosomal RNA". It matches the Rfam family "Bacterial small subunit ribosomal RNA", at positions 524 to 776 of the family's 1533-position model. The record is from RNAcentral.